AAACAUUCAGAUGUGCAAUGUGGA
RNAcentral lists this non-coding RNA (24 nucleotides) under Arabidopsis thaliana (thale cress). Lineage: Eukaryota; Viridiplantae; Streptophyta; Magnoliopsida; Brassicales; Brassicaceae. The record is from RNAcentral.